CUAUGCAAGUCAGAAUCACCUCCAUCCACCUCCAGCCUUUAUGAGACCCAGGACGUGGUACAGCUCCCAUGGGGAACAUCAGUUCUGUCUCUACCAAGGAUGCAGAGAAAGACAAGCCUCCAGGCUUCUCCAGUUUAAGAUCAUCAUGGUAGCUGGCACCUCUGGAAGCCACAAGUGUGUCGAGGCUGAGGACCACGUGGCUCUCACUUUGUGUUUGUGGAAAUAACUUGAGGAGGAUGACACUUCACUGUACCCUCAAGUCUUCUGGAGCGGCUGACUCCUUCCGCACCUUCUUUACAUGGUGUGGAACUACUCUGAAUUAUGAGAAGCGGCACGUGUACUCGAAAAUGUACAUGGAACUGCAGUCGUGAAGCUGUACCUGUGACACAGGGCGCAAGAGAAUGUGCUCAUGUGAACACAAGUGAAGGACAUGGUGGGGACUUGCCACACAGGUAAUUUUGGAUUUUUUCUCUUCACAACUUAAGUUUCAGGGCAUGUUUUCUAUGACAAAUAUGUCACCUCUUAUAGUUUACAGUAUUUAUACCCAGGGCACACCUGAAAGAAUUUUGGACAGCACAUUUACCAAAAAAAAGAUGGAAUGCUGAUGGGUAUGAAAUUUACUUUGUCUAAGACCAUUCUAAAUGAUGCCUACAUAAAUAUAAGUUGGAGUGAAGGCAGUUCUCAUUUUCAAACUGUAAGGAUACCCACAGAUUUUUCUGAACACGUGAAAACCCUUGAUAGAAAGAAACAGGAGAGGAAGAAACAGCAAAAGCAAUGAUUUCACACUGAGAAGAUCUGGAAAGAAUGAGGCAAGGUAGGAGACUUCCAAGUGGAGUGUGGUGUCAUCCUCCUUGAUUUAUUCCGGGAACACGUUGGAAAAGCCCUAUGGUUCUCACCCUUAAGCACGCUUAGCUUCUAAAGGUACCACAAAGAGAUGCCAGCUGGAAAACAGGGAAGCCUGUAGACUCAGGGGUAAAGGUUGUGCAUUUGGGGGGGGAAAAAAAGCACCCAUACCAUAUGGCACUCAAACCAGAGACAGUGGCAGGAGAGUGUGCUGCACAGAAAGAUGCGGCUCUCUGAAAAGACAUAGAACUGAAAAUGCCACAGCAUUUACCUUAUGCUUCUUGGCAGUUUUGGUAGAGCCAGUGUUGAUGUCACUCUUGGGAGUGACACCUGCUUCUGGAUCUGCUAAAGGCCCUAGAAGGGAUGGAGGUUUAUUUUGAUUUGAGUAGACUGUUUAGAGAUCAAAAACAAAAACAAAAAAAAAACCCUCCCUUCAUUCUUCUGACAACUUAAACUCUUUGCUCCAGUCAGAUCCCAAAUCAGAUGCAGAGGGUGUCCCACAUGCCUCAGGUGAUCCCCAAGAAGAACUUGAAGAACCAUCCCUUAUAACCUAAUGAAGACUCCCAAAAGCCCUGAUUCAGAUGUAUUCCUCACUCAUCGAACAACUAUAGAUGGCUGGGGGCACAACUAGAUGGACAUACGUUACGUUGUGCCUCAUGCCUCACAGAUCCCAGCAAAUGGACUGUGUAUAGGGCAUCACUGCUGAACCUCUAUGUCUGCUUUUCUGCACACGGCCCCAUUCCUUCCCCACAAGAGACGCCUAUACCAACACAUGGUGGGGGAACUGGCAAAGAUGAUAUGUUGAGCAUGAGAAACUUGAGGAAUGUGGUAAUGGAAGCAGACACAUUCCCCUUGUAUCACAAUGGUCUGUGGCACUGCCCCUGCACCUUGGCCAAAGACCUAACACCAACAAAAAUAAGAUGAGUGUGUUUUACAAGUCAACUUCUAGUGCUCAGAUCAUCUUACCAAGUGUCGCAGGUGGAGGGGUUUGGGGUGACCCCAGGGCCACCAAGGUUCAGGAGGUGGAUGUGCCUAAUAGUCCAUGGGGGCGGGGCGCCUGUAGGGUAGGGCAUGCAAAAUCGUCCAGUUAACAGAGGAGGUCCCCAGGAUCCAGACUGCCCUGCAGAACAGAAGUGACAGCUACAUUCAUAUGCCAGACAAGAGAACAAAUAUCAAAACCAGAGAAGAAUGUGUUCGCACCUGCCACCUUCUCUGCCACCAGGAUCCAAGAGAGUAGCAUCAGUACCUGAAAGCUCCAUCCCUGCUACUGGAUACCACCUACAGCUUGGGAUAGUAGAUGCAAGAGGUUAACCUACUGCCACCACUCAUCACUGCCCAUGUCUGCAGAAGUAAAAUGGCAAGGGUCCUGUCCUAGAGGGUUAACAGAAGUAAUUACAGACUAAUGAAGUAGCAUUCUUUGGACAGGCAGCCAUCGAUGUCCAGGUUCACCCUGCAUCCCUCCUCUAUGGCUACUCCAGAUGCUCUGUUUUUGGUAUGUUAAGAACACAAAAAAAUGAGUGGGAAUAAAUGGCUCAUAUUCUGCUCAUGGAAUCAUAGCCACUCCUGGUGAAAAGUUCUGCAGCCGGACCCUCACUUUGCCUCCUCUGCUUCUCUCCCUGAGAAAGGAGUCUUCCUUCCUGAAGUGUUGUCAAAGGCCUCUGAGACCUCUGGGGAGUGGAGGAUGCCUGGAAUCUUGCAGGGGAAUGAGAGUCUUCUGUGACGAAUAAGUUACUUAUGAAUGUCUACAAAGCUCAGAUGUGUUCAUCUUAAUUCAUAGGGAAUUCUGACUUUAAGCAUACUACAGGACACAGAGUAAUUAUGCCCAACAGAAAAAAGAGGUAGAAAUUCACAUAACAGAUUUAAAGCAAGUGUUUUGGUAUAAAACUCCUGGUAUGUGUCAUGAGACUGUAUCAGCUCUAACAGUGACUGGGGACACAACCAGAAACUGCUCAUAUAAACAUAAUUGAAGGACACAGUGUUCAAACUAUUUUUACCUAAGGUAUAGCUGGAAGGAUUCCAGACAACUCAUUUACCAACAAAGAUGGGAAGGUGAUGCGUGAUGACACUGACUUUAUCUAAGACCACUCUAAAUGGUACAGGGCACAAAAUAUAAAGUUGGAGUCAUGAUGUCGUUUUGCACUUUCGAAUUUUAAACAAUAUGGCAGACUUUCUAACAGGUUAAUCUCCUAGCCAGAAUCAAGAAAGGAAGACACAGCAGCCACACUGUUCCCACAGAGGUGAGGUCUGGAAGGGGUCACGCAGCCCAGGAGACUUCUGUUUGGAGUGUGGGGUCAUCCUCCUCUUAUUUCCUGAACCACACGGAAAAACCUUAAGGCAGCCUCUUUGCUUCCAUCCUGUCCAGUCUUGGAUACAGAAAAAUAAUGGACUUCUAUAAGAAGUGGUGCAACACCACAUCGUCUACUAGACAACAAACAGUGCACACAUCAUCCCUGGAAACACCCAUAAAAACGCAAGUCAAAUGACCACACCUGUAUUUCAAGUUUCCCAGGGUUGCAAAGACGAGAGCCAUGGAAUGGCACUACCAUGUUGAUGGUUAUGAUUCAUCGUACAACACACUGCUCUCCUAUAGAUUAUGACAAUUGACACCACCCCCAAGGAAUGUUGGCAUGGACAAAGUUUCUACACAGUCUGGCUAUUGCUUGAGAUCUGCAAAUGUUUAAAAACCUAAUUGUUUUGUUCUUUCUAAAACUUACCUUUUUUAUCUGUUAAUACUCUAUGUAUAUGAUCUCUGAAUUUUUGUUUAUAUUACUAAGUUGAGUCUAAACAUUGUAAAAAGAUUAAAAACAAAAAAAUGAACAGAGGUUUCAUGA
Neofelis nebulosa (Clouded leopard) is the source of this 3674-nucleotide long non-coding RNA. RefSeq lists it as uncharacterized. The transcript is spliced from 6 exons. Lineage: Eukaryota; Metazoa; Chordata; Mammalia; Carnivora; Felidae. The record is from RefSeq and is a predicted model, not a curated record.